UCAUUACCAAAAAAUCAACAGAAAUUAAAAUAAGAGCUAUGGCAAAGUACACUACUUUUUUAGCCCUUCUCUUUUGCCUCUUCCUUGUUGCUGCAACUGAAAUACAAAUGGCAGAAGGAAAAUACUGUUGGAAAAAGAGUGACAAGUGGAAUGGACUUUGCUACUACUCUUACAAAUGUAGUUAUCAUUGCAAGCACUACUAUGGAGCUAAAUAUGGUAUGUGUAAGAAGUAUAAACCAUGGGGUCACAAAUAUUACUGGGCAAAAUAUGCUUGCUACUGUUAUUCACCUUGCCACUACUAAGAAUCUUUCAGUGUCUCAUGGCUUCGGUUUGACUAUGUAAACAAAUAAUUAAGAAGCUACCUAUUUAAUUUUAUGUGUGUAACAAUGUAAUAAGGCUUAUUCAUGUGUGAAACUAUGGCCAAGCUUUGUGUGAUGAAUAAAUGUAUUGUAUAUUUUUCAAUGAGUAUUAAUUGAUUUGAACUAUGGUGUUUUUC
Solanum lycopersicum (tomato) is the source of this 496-nucleotide long non-coding RNA. RefSeq lists it as uncharacterized. Lineage: Eukaryota; Viridiplantae; Streptophyta; Magnoliopsida; Solanales; Solanaceae. The record is from RefSeq and is a predicted model, not a curated record.